Molecule: long non-coding RNA, 400 nt
Organism: Lycium ferocissimum
Lineage: Eukaryota; Viridiplantae; Streptophyta; Magnoliopsida; Solanales; Solanaceae
Exons: 2
Source: RefSeq, a predicted model, not a curated record
UCAAAUCUCAAUCUCUCAAUUAUAAUUAUUUUGCAAUAACUAGCCACAAAGUCUUAUUAUAGUUUCAACUUCCAAUUAUUAAUUUUGCAAUUAUAAUAUUGUUGGUGGAGUUGGUGAUUUUGCAACAAUCCGAAGUAGCUUUGGAAGACAACAAAUUGGAGACCAUAGACAUUCAUUAUCCGGCUUUAGCUUGCAAGUACUAGUGUGCAUUCGAGAUUGGAUUAGAUCGGAGCGACGCAACCAAAACUCGAAGCGGAGGAAGGCGAAGAGGAAGAAAUUGAAGAUUUGAUAGCUAGUGGACCGGACCAAAUGGAAGACUUUGAAGAUAUUUCCAUGACCGAAUAUGAUGUGCGGGGGAAAUUAACGAAAUGGUUCAAAAUUGGUGAUUUUAUUAUUCUAC